GGGGAUGGAGAAGGAGGAUCUCGGGAUCUUGGGAAAGAGGAUGGAGCUCAGGUUAGGGGCAGUAGGGCUGCAGAAUCGAUGGGAAUGGCCUGGGUCUACUAGUACAGUCUACAGAGUACAGAAAAUUUAGGGAUUCGGCCGCGGGGAGGGAGGGGUCAAGGACCGGGGAGAGGAAUAGGAUUUUAGGUAUGUUUUUUCUUUUUUUUUUGC
This 210-nucleotide long non-coding RNA is filed under the name Brachypodium distachyon (stiff brome). Its description in RNAcentral is "long non-coding RNA (BDIS_LNC004947)". The record is from RNAcentral. Lineage: Eukaryota; Viridiplantae; Streptophyta; Magnoliopsida; Poales; Poaceae.